Long non-coding RNA from Thunnus maccoyii (southern bluefin tuna), 722 nucleotides. RefSeq lists it as uncharacterized. Lineage: Eukaryota; Metazoa; Chordata; Actinopteri; Scombriformes; Scombridae. The transcript is spliced from 3 exons. The record is from RefSeq and is a predicted model, not a curated record.
ACUGUGCUGAACUAAAUGUUCCUGUUUAUUUGUCCAGGUGUUAAUGAUAAAUCUGUUCUGAGAGGCACUGGGUUUAUAACAGGCCUCCAGUGAUACCCAGAAGAGAUUUAUGUUGUUGUUGGUCAUCCUAAAAUAUCUCCAUGUCCUGUCUUAUAACACAAGUCCUCUCUGAAGGAUUUCACUGGACAAAAGUCAUUGAUAUAAAACCUGUUCAAACCUCAGCGUCAUGUGAACCAAACAGUUAACUAUGCUAGGUGCCACGUUGCUCACCUAAAAAGGCGCUUUAAUUGUUAGCUCAGUUAAUGAAACAUAUCAAAAGCAAGUUCGCUGACUAACAGUGGGAUUAUGUGGCUUGUGAAAGACUUUUUGGAGAACACCAGGUGUGCGUAUUUCAGCAGCGGCCGCACAGACGCAGCUGUGCUGGAUCAUCCUCCGCUCAGACUGCGGCUCUCCGCGAUCAGGACUGAAGUGAAGGAUCCUCCUACCUAAGUGAGAUGCUGGGGUGAGGAAGUUUCCAGGAUGGUGGGGUGGAUGGCCAAAGGGACCUGCUGAUGGGUGUGUAGGACCUGAAGAGAGAAAGACAGAAGGCUUCAGGAAAACAUCAAUCAACCACUGACUGUGAUAUUACAAAAACGGAGAAGAGUGUGGCGGGCCGUGCCAGGUCGCUGGGGUGAUGGAUGGCGCCGAAGAGGCUGGGGCCCGGAGGUCGACUCAAGAACUCA